AACCUGUCUCUAAUAUUUUAAUUUAAAAUUAUUUAAGGAGUGAAAAUCCUCCUAAUUAAAUACAAAAGACGAGAAGACCCUUAGAAUUAUAAUGAAGUAGAUAUUUUUAUUUAUAAAUUUUAGUUGGGGCAACUUAAUAACAUUUUAAAAUUAUUUUAAUAUAUACUAUACGUCCAAAACUUUUUAGAAUAGAUUAAUUACCUUAGGGAUAACAGCAUAAUUUUAAAAAAGUUUGUGACCUCGAUGUUGGACUAG
This 255-nucleotide ribosomal RNA is filed under the name Oospira sykesi. RNAcentral's name for it is "partial 16S ribosomal RNA". Lineage: Eukaryota; Metazoa; Mollusca; Gastropoda; Stylommatophora; Clausiliidae. The record is from RNAcentral.